GAUGAACGCUGGCGGCGUGCUUAACACAUGCAAGUCGAACGGAAAGGCUCCUGCUUGCAGGGGUACUCGAGUGGCGAACGGGUGAGUAACACGUGGGUGAUCUGCCCUGCACUUCGGGAUAAGCCUGGGAAACUGGGUCUAAUACCGGAUAGGACGAUGUUUUGGAUGCCAUUGUGGAAAGUUUUUUCGGUGUGGGGUGAGCUCGCGGCCUAUCAGCUUGUUGGUGGGGUAAUGGCCUACCAAGGCGUCGACGGGUAGCCGGCCUGAGAGGGUGUACGGCCACAUUGGGACUGAGAUACGGCCCAGACUCCUACGGGAGGCAGCAGUGGGGAAUAUUGCACAAUGGGCGCAAGCCUGAUGCAGCGACGCCGCGUGGGGGAUGACGGCCUUCGGGUUGUAAACUCCUUUCGCUAGGGACGAAGCGCAAGUGACGGUACCUGGAGAAGAAGCACCGGCUAACUACGUG
RNAcentral lists this ribosomal RNA (466 nucleotides) under uncultured bacterium. RNAcentral's name for it is "partial 16S ribosomal RNA". It matches the Rfam family "Bacterial small subunit ribosomal RNA", at positions 28 to 507 of the family's 1533-position model. The record is from RNAcentral.